CUGGAAGUACAAGAAGACUGAGUUCUCGGUCUCAAGAAAGUCAGACUCUCCUGAAUCAAGGGAAGCUUCCUGUGUCAGGAGGAAACCGAGGCCUGUGGCAGUUGCCUAAGAUCACACUGGCUGUGUGGAAGGCUAGGACCCAGACUCCAUUCUCCUGACGCCUGGCGGUGACUUUUUCCACUACAUCAGCAUCCCCAGAAUGUGAUCCCAGGAAGGCUCAUUCCAGGAGAGUAGCCCAACAGGCUGUGUUGGGGGCAGCUGAAAUGAGGAGCCAGGAUUCCCACUGAGAAGACAGGCAGAAGGGCUUCACAGCAGGGCUUCAGCCUCACAGGUGAUGGAAGGAACAACUGGAACGCCUCAAUUUAUUGAGUGUCUUCAGACUGAUGAGGCAUAUCCUGGGCUGAAACAUGAGCUAAGUGUAUCUUAUUUCUCAUUUAUUGGAAGUGGUAUGGCUAGCAGUUAAGAGGUUGAACUAGGUGUCUGCUAGCCUCAUUCUUGUCUAGCUAUGCCAUUUAACAGCUCUCUGAUCUUGGCGGCAGUUAUUUUAGCUCUCAGAGCCUCCAUUUUCUCAUCCACAGAAUGGGGCUGGUGAUUCCUCAAUCUCACAAUUCUUGUAAGAGUGAAAUGCUGCAUCCGAUGUGUUACAUGUAAUGGACCAUAUAUAAGAAUCUUUGCAGAAUUCUUGGAACCUAGUGUGUGCUGGUGCUGAACUAUGUGAAUACUGUGUGAUAGCUCCUGCUCAUUGGGUUCAGUGGAUGUGACAGGCAUGUGUAAGUGCCUUUACACAUG
Non-coding RNA from Microcebus murinus (gray mouse lemur), 789 nucleotides. Lineage: Eukaryota; Metazoa; Chordata; Mammalia; Primates; Cheirogaleidae. The record is from RefSeq and is a predicted model, not a curated record.